UCUCGCUCACGCUCACACCGUCACAUGUCCACCGCCAACCAAUCUAGCUCCAUGCCUCCAUGCUCGACGCCCAGGUGCCCCAGCCUCCCUGGCACCGAUCUGUGGCGCCGGCGACAGACUCGCCCCUCCCCGCACCUCCCCAGCUUUGCGUGCGUCUCCCGGUGGCGAUGGGCGAAGCGAUAGGCUUGCUGCGUGUCUAGACUGGCCGUGGAUGCAGAUUCCCGCACGCCAAGGCUCUGCUGGCCACGCGCGCGCCUGCUAACGCGUAUCCCAUGCUCGUCCAGCUCUCUGCAGCGCCACCAUCCUGUCAGUGAUGUUGGUCCUCCGGCGAGGCCUCCCCUGUGGUAUGCACGGCGACGCUUGGAGGUGACACCCGGCGGCGCGCGGGCUUCCUCCUCCCCACGGCCGGUUCGUCGAUCUGGCUUGAAUGAUGGAUCUAUUCAAACCAGAUGUACAACAACAGUGUUAACAGGAGCCGCGGUGAAGGCUGCUGUGUCGAUUUGCUGAAGUGCCACUCCAUUGCAUCAUUACCACCAAGAAGAGGCACCUCAGAGAUGUUGGGCAUGAAUGCAUGCGUUAUUGAUGCCACAAAGAGCAGAGCAUGCUUGCUGAAAAAAAAUAUCCUACUUGAGCUUCAAAGCUGGUUGUUACAAGGUAAUAAUCGAAGCAACCUUAAUUCAUAGUUCGAUGAUUUGUUGCAAUCCUUCCUGUCAAUUGGUUCUGUAUGUUUUCUAAAAUUUUUCUUACCUCAUGUCCUAUUUCAAAUCAUAUAAGAAACAUUCUCUGUAUGUUCUAGAUUCAACUUUGAUGUUUUUAUUUCAUAUAUCUGGCUGAAGGUAAAUAGAUGCAUUGACCAUUGAAUAGACAAUGUCAGUAGAGGACAAGAAGCAUAGAAGCUGACCAACUCCAACAAGAAUCUGUAAGACCAUAGUACUCUUUUAAUUCAAUUCAGAGACAUUGGACAAGCAAUCAGCAGAUCAUGCACCUUCCUUCCAAUCAUCAGUGUCGUUCGAGUGUCGAAGACUGGCCGGUCCACAACAACAGUCAAUGAAGCUCGCCUUCAAGCUUAGUUUGAGGCAACACUGCAAGCUGAAAGAGAGCAAGCUGCUAGGCAUCAGGAAGAGCUACAAGCACAACUUCAAGCUCAACAGGCCUCGCUUGAAAGCAAACCAAGCAGCUCUUGAGGAAAACCAAACUUUGUUGCGCCAGACCCAAGAUGAAGUGAAGGAGAUGCAUACCAAGUUUGAAGAGACAAAUGUAGUACUGCGGGCUAUGCUGAAACAUUAGAAAGAUUGAGGUCUAGGUUUGAAUGCAACUUCUAUUUCUGAUGCCUUUUCCAGAAUAACAUCUGUGAACUUUUGUUUCACUAUGUUUGUAGAACCAAGUAUCUGAAAUUAUUUGCAUCUGCUUUUAUGUUUGUACCUGUAUGAUGGAUUUGAACCUAUGUGAUGGAACCUAGAAGUACUAGGAUGUGUUUCAACUUGCAAACACUGUGUCUUAUAGUUUGGAGUGUAUAUGUGGAUGAUGGCUUCCCUGAAAUGUGUAAGAUUUAUGAGCUAUGAUGAGAAUGAUGAUGUGUGACAUUGGUCACGAAUUGCAAUUGAUA
Sorghum bicolor (sorghum) is the source of this 1606-nucleotide long non-coding RNA. RefSeq lists it as uncharacterized. Lineage: Eukaryota; Viridiplantae; Streptophyta; Magnoliopsida; Poales; Poaceae. The transcript is spliced from 3 exons. The record is from RefSeq and is a predicted model, not a curated record.